This 388-nucleotide ribosomal RNA is filed under the name uncultured bacterium. RNAcentral's name for it is "bacterial SSU rRNA". It matches the Rfam family "Bacterial small subunit ribosomal RNA", at positions 29 to 408 of the family's 1533-position model. The record is from RNAcentral.
AAUGAACGCUGGCGGCGCGCCUAAUACAUGCAAGUCGAGCGAGAAGACGUAGCAAUACGUUUGUAAAGCGGCGAACGGGUGAGGAAUACAUGGGUAACCUACCCUCGAGUGGGGAAUAACUAGCCGAAAGGUUAGCUAAUACCGCGUACGCUUCUUGGACUUCGGUUCAGGGAGGAAAGCGAUACCGUGGGUAUCGCGCUCUUGGAUGGGCUCAUGUCCUAUCAGCUUGUUGGGAGGUAACGGCUCACCAAGGCUUUGACGGGUAGCUGGUCUGAGAGGACGAUCAGCCACACUGGCACUGCGACACGGGCCAGACUCCUACGGGNGGCAGCAGUAAGGAAUAUUGCGCAAUGGGCGAAAGCCUGACGCAGCGACGCCGCGUGGGGGA